Molecule: ribosomal RNA, 440 nt
Filed under: uncultured bacterium
Lineage: Bacteria
Description: partial 16S ribosomal RNA
Rfam family: Bacterial small subunit ribosomal RNA
Source: RNAcentral
CCUACGGGUGGCAGCAGUGGGGGAUAUUGCACAAUGGGGGAAACCCUGAUGCAGCGACGCCGCGUGGGUGAAGAAGCGCCUCGGCGCGUAAAGCCCUGUCAGCAGGGAAGAAAAUGACGGUACCUGAAGAAGAAGCCCCGGCUAACUACGUGCCAGCAGCCGCGGUAAUACGUAGGGGGCAAGCGUUAUCCGGAUUUACUGGGUGUAAAGGGGGCGCAGACGGCGAUGCAGGCCAGGAGUGAAAGCCCGGGGCCCAACCCCGGGACUGCUCUUGGAACAGCGUGGCGAGAGUGCAGGAGGGGCAGGCGGAAGUCCUGGGGUAGCGGUGAAAUGCGUAGAUAUCAGGAGGAACACCGGUGGCGAAGGCGGCCUGCUGGACUGCAACUGACGUUGAGGCCCGAAAGCGUGGGGAGCAAACAGGAUUAGAUACCCGAGUAGUC